Scophthalmus maximus (turbot) is the source of this 810-nucleotide long non-coding RNA. RefSeq lists it as uncharacterized. The transcript is spliced from 3 exons. The record is from RefSeq and is a predicted model, not a curated record. NCBI's taxonomy places the organism in Eukaryota, Metazoa, Chordata, Actinopteri, Pleuronectiformes, Scophthalmidae.
CUGGAUUUAACUACACAAAGAAAGGUCAGAGACUGCAACGCCAUCAUUCUCACAGAGACAUGGCUCAAUAACUCCGUUUCGGACAACUCCAUUCAGCUGGACGGACUAACAACAUUCAGGGCGGACAGGAGUCAUGCUCUAUUCUGUAAAUCUCGGGGAGGUGGUGUAUGCAUUUUCAUCAAUAACAACUGGUGUACAAAUGCUGUAAUUGUCUCAAGCCACUGUUCUGAGGACAUAGAAUUUCUGACAAUUAAAAUUGCGACCAUUGUACAUGCCAAGGGAAUUCACAGCCAUUAACAUCACAGCUGUGUACAUUCCACCCAGUGCGAACACAAAAGACGCACUGUCUACAGUGUAUCAGUCUAUCAGCUCAAUGCAGAACUUUAACCUGGACUAUGUCUACAUAAUCGCUGGCGAUUUCAAUCAGGCCAAACUGAAGACAGUACUACCACAUUAUGACAAACAUGUGAACUUUGCAACCAGGGGAAAUAACAUACUCGACCGCGGUGUCGGAGCCUUGCGGGAACAUUUCAAGCUACUACCGGAUGAAUAAUACGCCUGCCCUGCGGUCAGUCAUCCCAACAGAGAAGUCCAAGAAGCUUGCGCUCCUGUUGUUUCGUUUUCCUCCAGAUGUUCCAGACAGAUUGGACCAGUGGAAGUGAAACAUGAGAGCAAAGAUGCCCGGAAGGACCUGCCUGAAGGACUCCACUGUGCUGUCCAUGUUCUGUGGAGCAAAGAAGACCAAAGAAGAAAAAUGAAUCACUCGGUUCUUCUUUUAAAAUAUAUUUAAAUCACACAAACCUGUUAUUG